This 210-nucleotide long non-coding RNA is filed under the name Elaeis guineensis (African oil palm). RNAcentral's name for it is "long non-coding RNA (EGUI_LNC062696)". Lineage: Eukaryota; Viridiplantae; Streptophyta; Magnoliopsida; Arecales; Arecaceae. The record is from RNAcentral.
UCUCUGAUGUCCAGCAACCUCUGAAGAUCCAUCUUCAACCUCUGAAUGAUCCGAGGUGAUUCUAGAAGAAGAUCUAUUCAGAUUAGCCAACAGGAGCAGUCUUUGCGAGCUAGCACUCUCAGAGAUAGCAAAUCGAAAUGAGGACUUCGUAUGGAUGAUUCAUAGAGGCUGGACACACUGUGUGGCUGCAAGCAACUAGCAAGGACCUCC